CCAAGGUGCAGUGGGUUGCGUGCUCAUCAUAUUAAUUUAUUAAAUAAAUGUGAACACGGGAAAAACAAACAAAAAGAACGACAGAAGACAGUUUAACAGGCGAUACUUACUACAGCAGUGCUAAAGACAACUACCCACAAUUAACAACCCCAAACACAUACCUAUAUAGGACUCUCAGAGGAAAAUAGAAACACCUGCCUCCAAUUGAGAGUCCACACCCAAACCUAAACUAGAGAGAACGUAGAAAAUACAACCUAGAACAUACCCAACACCAGAACACACCCUAAACACAACCAACCACCCCGAACCAACCAAAACAAAUACCCUCUGCCACGUCCUGACCAAAUUACAAUACAAAUAAUACCUAAACUGGUCAGGACGUGACAGUACCCCCCCUAAAGGUGCAGACCCUGGAUGCACCUCAAAAUAAAAAUAAUAAACUCCUAACUAAAGGGAGGGAAGGGAGGGUGGCUGCCGUCACCUGUGCUACACCCCCCCAACCCACCUAUACUGGAGGUGGCUCAGGUUCUGGCCUACUGUCCUCCAGACUGUAGGCAGGCUUUCUUGACUCUGGACCGUAGGCAGAUUCACUCGGUUCCGGGCCGUAGGCAGACUCACACAGUUCAAAGUUAUAGUAAACUUCAUUCUGAUCCGGACAGCGGGCUGGCUCACCUGGUGCCGGACAGCAGGCCGGCUCACCUGGUGCCGGACACUCGGGACGAGGCACUGUUGCCGGACACUCGGGCCUGGUCUGACGGCUAGUGCGGGGAGCGGGAACAGGCUGAGUUGGACUGGGCUGACGCACAGGAAGCCUGAUGCGUGGUGCUGGUACUGGAUGUGCCAGCCUGGAGACACGCACCUCAGGGCUAAUGCGGGGAGCAGGAACCGGCCGUGUUGGAGUGGGCUGACGCACAGGAAGCCUGAUGCGUGGUGCUGGUACUGGAUGUGCCAGCCUGGAGACACGCACCUCAGGGCUAAUGCGGGGAGCAGGAAACACUGGACCGUAGAGGCGCACUGGCGGUCUCGAGCGCAGGACUGGCAUCACCCCUACUGGCUGGAUGCCCACUUUCCCCUGGCACAUGCGGGGCGCUGGUACUGCGCAUACCGGCCUGGAAAUACCCGGCCUCGUCACAGCACCCAUCACCCCAAAGCACAGGACCUGUCCAGUCAAUGGUUGUUUGGAAAAAAACAGGGAUUCGGCUUGGGACUUAAUCCUCGCCCAGCCAACCUACCCGUGUGCCCCCCCAAAAUAAAUUAUCGGGGUUGCCUCUCCGGCUUCCUCGCCAGCCGUGUUCCCCAGUAGCGAAUCCGGUCCUCCCCAGACUUCCUCCAUGGGCCCUCUCCGGCCAGAAUCUCCUCCCAAGUCCAUGACUCAUGAUAUUCCACCUGUUGUUCCCUCCUCCUCUGCCUGGUCCGUGUUUGGUGGGUAGUUCUGUCACGACUGUCGUUGGGUAGAGAGGACCAAGGCGCAGCGGGUUGCGUGCUCAUUAUAUUAAUUUAUUAAAUAAAUGUGAACACGGGAAAAACAAUAAACAAAAAGAACGACAGAAGACAGUUUAACAGGCUAUACUUACUACAGCAGUGCUAAAGACAACUACCCACAAUUAACAACCCCAAACACAUACCUAUAUAUAGGACUCUCAGAGGAAAAUAGAAACACCUGCCUCCAAUUGAGAGUCCACACCCAAACCUAAACAUAGAAAAACUAAACAGAACAUAGAAAAUACAACCUAGAACAUACCCAACACCCAGAACUAACAAAUCACACACCCUAAACACAACCAACCACCCCGAACCAACCAAAACAAAUACCCUCUACCACGUCCUGACCAAACUACAAUACAAAUAAUACCUAAACUGGUCAGGACGUGACAAUAUCACAUAACAUUAAGCUUAAGAACUAAUAAUGUAAUGUGUUUUUUGAAGGAAUGCUGAAAUAGUUUGGCUGUGAACUCAG
This 1957-nucleotide long non-coding RNA is filed under the name Salmo salar (Atlantic salmon). RNAcentral's name for it is "lncRNA (ENSSSAG00000084103.1)". Lineage: Eukaryota; Metazoa; Chordata; Actinopteri; Salmoniformes; Salmonidae. The record is from RNAcentral.